GUCUGAUUCAGAACUCCAGGGGCCUAGGAACGGGUUCUGCAGUAUUUGACUGUUUUGAGGCUGGUCUUGGGGCUGAGGUACGAAUCUGGUCCUACACCAAACCCAGGUACCAGAAAGAACUCAACGUCACGCAGCAGUUGCCUGACUGCAGGGGUCUCGAAGUCCAGGACAGCAUCCAGAGCUGCUGGGACUGGACCUCAGAACAUUACUUUAAACCACACUGACCUGGUUCCCUGCCUCUGCAUUCAGUUAUGGUCUCAGGAGCCAGACUCUGUUAGGACCAGCUUCUGCCCCUUCAAGAAAGAUCCCCGUGCACACAGGAACCUUUGGCACAUGGCCAGGCUGCGGGUGCAGUCCUCAGGGAGCUGGCUGCUAGACACGCCUUGCUCUCUACGGACCGAGGUGGCACUGUGCUGGCAGGCACCAGACCAGAGUCCCUGCCAGCCCCUUGUGCCACCAAUGCCCCAGAAGAAUGUCACUAUGAAUAGGCCAUUUGAGUUCCCAUUGGUGAAAGAACACCCCAACCUCUGUGUCCAGGUCCAGAGUGCAGAGCCGGCCUGAUGGGCUUCCUCUUGCCUGCACCCUCCCUAUUGGACUUCCUGGCCCUGGCUCUUGUUUUCCUAGUGCUCCUAACUCUGGCUCCUUCUAAGCAGACUCCUUAGGGCCCUUCAAGGAUGAUAUGCUGUUAGUGGAGAUGAAAACUGACCUAAACGACACAUCAGUCUGUGCCUUGGAACCCAGUGGCUGUACACCACUGCCUAGUGUUGCCUCCACGAGAGCUGCUCGCCUUGGAGAGCAGUUGCUUCUAGACUUCAGGACACACCAGUGCAUGCAGCUGUGGAAUGAUGAUGACCUGGGAUCACUGUGGGCCUGCCCCAUGGACAAACAUCCACAAGCGCUGGGUCCUAGUGUGGCUGGCCUGCCUACUCUUGGCUGCGGCGCUUUUCUUCUUCCUCCUUUUAAAAAAGGACCGCAG
RNAcentral lists this long non-coding RNA (976 nucleotides) under Rattus norvegicus (Norway rat). RNAcentral's name for it is "long non-coding RNA NONRATT020788". Lineage: Eukaryota; Metazoa; Chordata; Mammalia; Rodentia; Muridae. The record is from RNAcentral.